GAUGAACGCUAGCUACAGGCUUAACACAUGCAAGUCGCGGGGCAGCAUGGGGGUUGCUUGCAAUCCCCGAUGGCGACCGGCGCACGGGUGAGUAACGCGUAUCCAACCUGCCCUUCACCACGGGAUAACCCGGCGAAAGUCGGACUAAUACCGUAUGUUGUCCAUUGACGGCAUCCGAUUUGGACGAAAGGUUUGGCGGUGAAGGAUGGGGAUGCGUCCGAUUAGCUGGACGGCGGGGUGACGGCCCACCGUGGCGACGAUCGGUAGGGGUUCUGAGAGGAAGGUCCCCCACACUGGAACUGAGACACGGUCCAGACUCCUACGGGAGGCAGCAGUGAGGAAUAUUGGUCAAUGGGCGUAAGCCUGAACCAGCCAAGUAGCGUGCAGGAUGACGGCCCUAUGGGUGGUAAACUGCUUUUAUGCGGGGAUAAAGUGGCCCACGUGUGGGUUUUUGCAGGUACCGCAUGAAUAAGGACCGGCUAAUUCCGUG
RNAcentral lists this ribosomal RNA (490 nucleotides) under uncultured bacterium. Its description in RNAcentral is "partial 16S ribosomal RNA". It matches the Rfam family "Bacterial small subunit ribosomal RNA", at positions 28 to 507 of the family's 1533-position model. The record is from RNAcentral.